This 360-nucleotide long non-coding RNA is filed under the name Androctonus crassicauda. Lineage: Eukaryota; Metazoa; Arthropoda; Arachnida; Scorpiones; Buthidae. The record is from RNAcentral.
CUGUCCAAUGGGAUUCUUUUUUGACAGCUAUCAUCAGUUCAAAUGCUGAAUGCUUUUUCCAUUUUCUCAAUUAUUGGCGCAUGGGAUCGAGCUGCCACUUUUGUGGAUAUCAAAGAUCCUGCAGCAACAGCACUUCUAAUUUUCUUUUCAUUUUUUGUAUGGUUCGGAUUGUUGCUUCAUAUAAGUUUAGAUUUUUUCCAAGUAAUGUUUUUUUUAUGUGCGAUGCUUUCUCUUCUUUUAAAAGGCGAUCCAAAAAUUUGUAUUUUUACUUCUAACUUAAAUUCCUCUUAAAUGUUGUUUUAUUUUUAUCAUAGUUUGGGCCUAAAAUUUAAUUUACCAAAAAUUAGUUGUAAAAAAAAA